GCCCAGGUGGUGUAGUGGUAGCACGCUUCCACGGUAUAGAUGGAGUGCGAGUUCGACUCCCGCCUGGGGUC
Non-coding RNA from Parelaphostrongylus tenuis, 71 nucleotides. NCBI's taxonomy places the organism in Eukaryota, Metazoa, Nematoda, Chromadorea, Rhabditida, Metastrongylidae. The record is from the annotation of a GenBank genome assembly.